GGUUAAGUGACUAAGCGUACACGGUGGAUGCCUAGGCAGUCAGAGGCGAUGAAGGGCGUGCUAAUCUGCGAAAAGCGUCGGUAAGGUGAUAUGAACCGUUAUAACCGGCGAUACCCGAAUGGGGAAACCCAGUGUGUUUCGACACACUAUCAUGUCAUGAAUACAUAGUGGCAUGAGGCGAACCGGGGGAACUGAAACAUCUAAGUACCCCGAGGAAAAGAAAUCAACCGAGAUUCCCCCAGUAGCGGCGAGCGAACGGGGAGGAGCCCAGAACCUGAAUCGGCUUGUGUGUUAGUGGAAGCGUCUGGAAAGUCGCGCAGUAAAGGGUGAUAGCCCCGUACACUAAAAUGCACAGGUCGUGAGUUCGAUGAGUAGGGCGGGACACGUGACAUCCUGUCUGAAUAUGGGGGGACCAUCCUCCAAGGCUAAAUACUCCUGACUGACCGAUAGUGAACCAGUACCGUGAGGGAAAGGCGAAAAGAACCCCGGCGAGGGGAGUGAAAUAGAACCUGAAACCGUGUACGUACAAGCAGUGGGAGCACCUUCGUGGUGUGACUGCGUACCUUUUGUAUAAUGGGUCAGCGACUUAUAUUUUGUAGCAAGGUUAACCGUAUAGGGGAGCCGUAGGGAAACCGAGUCUUAACUGGGCGUCUAGUUGCAAGGUAUAGACCCGAAACCCGGUGAUCUAGCCAUGGGCAGGUUGAAGGUUGGGUAACACUAACUGGAGGACCGAACCGACUAAUGUUGAAAAAUUAGCGGAUGACUUGUGGCUGGGGGUGAAAGGCCAAUCAAACCGGGAGAUAGCUGGUUCUCCCCGAAAGCUAUUUAGGUAGCGCCUCGUGAACUCAUCUUCGGGGGUAGAGCACUGUUUCGGCUAGGGGGCCAUCCCGGCUUACCAAACCGAUGCAAACUCCGAAUACCGAAGAAUGUUAUCACGGGAGACACACGGCGGGUGCUAACGUCCGUCGUGAAGAGGGAAACAACCCAGACCGCCAGCUAAGGUCCCAAAGUCAUGGUUAAGUGGGAAACGAUGUGGGAAGGCAUAGACAGCCAGGAUGUUGGCUUAGAAGCAGCCAUCAUUUAAAGAAAGCGUAAUAGCUCACUGGUCGAGUCGGCCUGCGCGGAAGAUGUAACGGGGCUAAACCAUGCACCGAAGCUGCGGCAGCGACGCUUAGGCGUUGUUGGGUAGGGGAGCGUUCUGUAAGCCGUUGAAGGUGGCCUGUGAGGGUUGCUGGAGGUAUCAGAAGUGCGAAUGCUGACAUAAGUAACGAUAAAGCGGGUGAAAAGCCCGCUCGCCGGAAGACCAAGGGUUCCUGUCCAACGUUAAUCGGGGCAGGGUGAGUCGACCCCUAAGGCGAGGCUGAAAAGCGUAGUCGAUGGGAAACAGGUUAAUAUUCCUGUACUUGGUGUUACUGCGAAGGGGGGACGGAGAAGGCUAGGCUAGCCGGGCGACGGUUGUCCCGGUUUAAGCGUGUAGGGGGUGUGACCUGGUAAAUCCGGUUGCAUAUCAACCCUGAGGCGUGAUGACGAUGCACUACGGUGCAGAAGUAGUUGAUGCCCUGCUUCCAGGAAAAUCCUCUAAGCUCCAGGUAACAUUAAAUCGUACCCCAAACCGACACAGGUGGUCAGGUAGAGAAUACCAAGGCGCUUGAGAGAACUCGGGUGAAGGAACUAGGCAAAAUGGUGCCGUAACUUCGGGAGAAGGCACGCUGGCAUGUAGGUGAAGUCCCUUGCGGAUGGAGCUGAAGCCAGUCGAAGAUACCAGCUGGCUGCAACUGUUUAAUAAAAACACAGCACUGUGCAAACACGAAAGUGGACGUAUACGGUGUGACGCCUGCCCGGUGCUGGAAGGUUAAUUGAUGGGGUCAGCCGCAAGGCGAAGCUCUUGAUCGAAGCCCCAGUAAACGGCGGCCGUAACUAUAACGGUCCUAAGGUAGCGAAAUUCCUUGUCGGGUAAGUUCCGACCUGCACGAAUGGCGUAAUGAUGGCCAGGCUGUCUCCACCCGAGACUCAGUGAAAUUGAACUCGCUGUGAAGAUGCAGUGUACCCGCGGCAAGACGGAAAGACCCCGUGAACCUUUACUAUAGCUUGACACUGAACAUUGAGCCUUGAUGUGUAGGAUAGGUGGGAGGCUUUGAAGCGUGGACGCCAGUCUGCGUGGAGCCAUCCUUGAAAUACCACCCUUUAAUGUUUGAUGUUCUAACUCGGCCCCGUGAUCCGGGGUGAGGACAGUGUCUGGUGGGUAGUUUGACUGGGGCGGUCUCCUCCCAAAGAGUAACGGAGGAGCACGAAGGUUAGCUAAUCACGGUCGGACAUCGUGAGGUUAGUGCAAAGGCAUAAGCUAGCUUGACUGCGAGAGUGACGGCUCGAGCAGGUACGAAAGUAGGUCUUAGUGAUCCGGUGGUUCUGAAUGGAAGGGCCAUCGCUCAACGGAUAAAAGGUACUCCGGGGAUAACAGGCUGAUACCGCCCAAGAGUUCAUAUCGACGGCGGUGUUUGGCACCUCGAUGUCGGCUCAUCACAUCCUGGGGCUGAAGUAGGUCCCAAGGGUAUGGCUGUUCGCCAUUUAAAGUGGUACGCGAGCUGGGUUUAGAACGUCGUGAGACAGUUCGGUCCCUAUCUGCCGUGGGCGUUGGAAGAUUGAGAGGGGUUGCUCCUAGUACGAGAGGACCGGAGUGAACGCACCACUGGUGUUCGGGUUGUCAUGCCAAUGGCAUUGCCCGGUAGCUAAGUGCGGAAAAGAUAAGCGCUGAAAGCAUCUAAGCGCGAAACUUGCCUCAAGAUGAGUCUUCCCUGGGCCUUUAAGGCCCCUGAAGGAACGUUUAAGACUAAGACGUUGAUAGGCUGGGUGUGUAAGUGCAGCGAUGCAUUGAGCUAACCAGUACUAAUGAUCCGUGAGGCUUAACCUU
This 2908-nucleotide ribosomal RNA is filed under the name Serratia marcescens. RNAcentral describes it as "23S ribosomal RNA". It matches the Rfam family "Bacterial large subunit ribosomal RNA". The record is from RNAcentral. Lineage: Bacteria; Pseudomonadati; Pseudomonadota; Gammaproteobacteria; Enterobacterales; Yersiniaceae.